GUGAAUCAUCAAAUUUUUGAACGCAUAUUGCACUCUCUGGUAUUCCGGGGAGUAUGCCUAUUUGAGGGUCAUUUUAAAUAAUAUAAAUUCCAAGAUUUCUCGGAGUUUCAAUUGGGUUGUCCAUUUUUUGUGGUCGCCUAAGAUCCAGGACCAUCUCAUUUUCUUUGGUUGCGUGUUACUUUCAGUUCCCUCAUGAUUUCACAAGACAUCUUCGAGCGUGU
This 221-nucleotide unclassified non-coding RNA is filed under the name Ambisporaceae sp. Its description in RNAcentral is "partial contains 5.8S ribosomal RNA and internal transcribed spacer 2". The stretch from base 1 to 71 matches the Rfam family "5.8S ribosomal RNA", at positions 84 to 154 of the family's 154-position model. Lineage: Eukaryota; Fungi; Glomeromycota; Glomeromycetes; Archaeosporales; Ambisporaceae. The record is from RNAcentral.